This is a long non-coding RNA of Triticum aestivum (bread wheat), 415 nucleotides long. RefSeq lists it as uncharacterized. The transcript is spliced from 3 exons. The record is from RefSeq and is a predicted model, not a curated record. NCBI's taxonomy places the organism in Eukaryota, Viridiplantae, Streptophyta, Magnoliopsida, Poales, Poaceae.
GGCACCGCACGCGAGCCAACCUCCGCGAGGAACCCCGCAGCCUUUUUCCCCGUCUUCUGUUGCCGCAAGCGUUAGCUAGGGCAAAACGGAUCUCGCCGGAGAAGCUCGAGACCACCGCUGUUCGCCGGUGGUUGUCGCCGCCAGCGAGAGAAGCAGGCCGACCCGCCGCCGCCGGAGCACACCGUGUUUCACCUCGUCGCCGUCGCCUACAGAGGGAGCAACGCCACCGUGGAACACCACCACCACCUCCUCCACUCACCGCCGCAUCCUCCUGUCACUUCCCCCUCGUCGGAGAGUCGCCGGAGAAGCGCCACCGCUGACGCCCGAGCGUCGUCGUCGUUUUCCUCUGUUUUGGAUUGUCCGGAGUGCGACGCGAACUAUUGUCAGGAGUGUGACCUUCUGAACCAGAACCAAG